This is a non-coding RNA of Lupinus albus (white lupine), 120 nucleotides long. NCBI's taxonomy places the organism in Eukaryota, Viridiplantae, Streptophyta, Magnoliopsida, Fabales, Fabaceae. The record is from the annotation of a GenBank genome assembly.
AGGUGCGAUCAUACCAGCACUAAUGCACCGGAUCCCAUCAGAACUCCGCAGUUAAGCGUGCUUGGGCGAGAGUAGUACUAGGAUGGGUGACCUCCUGGGAAGUCCUCGUGUUGCACCUCU